Molecule: RNA transcript, 4283 nt
Organism: Dama dama (fallow deer)
Lineage: Eukaryota; Metazoa; Chordata; Mammalia; Artiodactyla; Cervidae
Gene name: BOLA class I histocompatibility antigen, alpha chain BL3-7-like
Exons: 7
Source: RefSeq, a predicted model, not a curated record
UAUAAAGUUUCCACCGGUACCCACGCCCACCCCCACCCUCCACCGGGACUCGGUUUCUCCCCAGGCCCGGAGGAUACGGCUCAUGGGGCCGCGAACCCUCCUCCUGCUGCUCUCGGGGGUCCUGGUCCUCACCGAGGCCUGGGCCGGCUCCCACUCCUUGAGCUAUUUCAGCACCGCCGUGUCUCGGCCCGGCCUCGGGGAGCCCCGUUUCUUUGCCGUCGGCUACGUGGACGACACGCAGUUCGCGCGGUUCGACAGCGACGCCCCGAAUCCGAGGAUGGAGCCGCGGGCGCCUUGGAUGGAGCAGGAGGGGCCAGAAUACUGGGAUGAGAUUACUCGAGAUGCCAAGAAAGCUCAACAGAGAUUGACGUCAGGCUUGAACACCAUGCGCGGUUUGUACAACCAGAGCGAGGCCGGGUCCCACACCCUCCAGUGGGUGUUUGGCUGCGACGUGGGGCCGGACGGGCGCCUCCUCCGCGGGAUCUGGCAGAACGCCUAUGACGGUGCGGAUUACCUCGCCCUGAACGAAGACCUGCGCUCCUGGACCGCGGCGGACACGGUGGCUCAGAUCACCAAGCGCAAGUGGGAAAUCUCUGGUGAGGCUGAGUUCCAACGGAACCACCUGGAGGUCAAGUGCGUGCAGUGGCUCCGCAGACACCUGGAGAACGGGAAGGACACGCUGCUGCGCGCAGACCCUCCAAAGGCACGUGUGACUCAUCACCCCAUCUCUGACCGUGAGGUCACCCUGAGGUGCUGGGCCCUGGGCUUCUACCCUGAGGAGAUCUCACUGACCUGGCAGCGAGACGGGGAGGACCAGACUCAGGACAUGGAGCUUGUGGAGACCAGGCCUUCAGGGGAUGGAACCUUCCAGAAGUGGGCAGCCCUAGUGGUGCCUUCUGGAGAGGAGCUGAGAUACACGUGUCAUGUGCAGCACGAGGGGCUUCAGGACCCCCUCACACUGAGAUGGGAACCUCCUCAGCCCUCUGUCCUCAUCAUGGGCAUCAUUGUUGGCCUGGUUCUCCUAAUGUUUGCUGUGGUGACUGGAGCUGUGAUUUGGAGGAAGAAGCGCUCAGGUAGAGAAAGGAGGGAGGGAUCUGAGUUUUCUUAUCUCACUGGCUGGGUUUCUGGCCCAGGUGGAAGUUUGGCUGCCUCGUUACAGGAAAGUACCCUCCACACACAUGUGGAAGAUGAACUGAUGCUAAGACUGACCCUUUUGUAAAGUACAUGUGAAAAUGAAAGACAAAUUUUUCAUCUUCAUAAUUCCAUUUGGGAGCCUGUUUCUCAGCAUUUGAAGGUCAGAAGGGAAUGUGCCUGCUGAGGACUGACCUCCAGUAGGGCAGGUGGUCCAGUCCCCUCACGUCUCCUUCCUUCAUGUUCCUGAGCCUAUCCUGGAUUUUUGGUCAGAGUCCUGAAAAGUACUUUGUCGUCCAGACUAGGGAGUUCCUCUAGAGUCUCAUGACUCAUCCAUGGUCUCUCCCGUGAUACUUUCUUCUCACAGGUGAAAACGGAGGGGGCUACACCCAGACUGCAAGUAGUGACGGUGCCCAGGGUUCUGAUGUGUCUCUCACAGUGCCUAAAGUGUGAGACAGCUGCCUGUGGGGACUGAGUGAUGCUCGGUCCCACUUUGUGACGUCAGAUCCCCGGACCCCUCUUUCUGAAGCUGCAUCUGAAUGUGUCUGUGCUCCUAUUAGCAUAAGAAGAAGAGGUGGGGAGACUGCCAACCUCUUCCAACCAAACUCCGGGAUUUAAAAUGCGGUGCCUAAUAGUCACAGCCUCGGAUCUUUUCUGAAGAGAAAAUAUCAUUAUGUGUAGAGUGCAGACUGGUGGAUGUGAGAGGGAGGGGUGAUCAGAUCUUGUGGGGAAGGUACAGGCAGCACUGAUGUCAGUGUGAAUGAUUAAUGUACUAUACCUUCCGUGAGAGAGCAAGUGGCCCGAGUUCACAUUAAUAAGUAUAGAAUACAGAGCCAUCUGCACUCAUCAUUCCUUCAUCUGAUAUUUGUUGUGUGCCAAAUAGAUGAUGCUCUAUAUUUGCAUCUGGGAAACCUCAGUGAACUAACAACAGACACACUUUGUUGGCCUCGUGCCCUAUGUUCUGGUGAGAGGGGGCAGAGUGAGCCUAAUAAGUGAGGAAAGUGUCUGCCUAAGGAUUGGCAAGUUCUUUGAUGAAGGUGACCUAGAGUAUGUGUGUGGGUACAGGGAAGGUGGCUGUUUUACUAGGGUGUCAGUGUAGGCCUCGUUGAGGAGAUGAUAUCGGAGUAAAGAUGUGAAGGACGUGAGAGAAUGUCCACUAGGAUGUCUGGGGGAAGUUCUCUCCAGGCAGAGGAGCCUCCAGUGCAAAUGCAGGAGGGCAGGAGAGUGUAUGUGAUCAAGGAAGAGCCGGGAGGCAGGUGUGGCUGGAGGAACGAGGAAUUGAGAUGAGAUCCAGUGUCUGCCCAGGUCAUGUGGGCCUCCAGCAUAUUGGAAGCUGUCUGAUGUCUGUGAAAGAUGUGGACUCAUAAGAUGGUUUGAAUAGAAGAUGACCUGGUGUGACUGCUCGCUAGGAGCGUCAGUCUUAACUGCUGUGCAGAAUCAGGAGGUGAAGGGAGAGCGAUCCAGUAGAGGAGCCUGUAGGAUUAGUGCAGGGUCCAGGUGGGGAUGCUGGUGCUCCCCUGGACCCUCAUUAAAUCUAGACAGUCGGGAGUAGAGCCUGAGAAUCUGCAUUUGUAAUAAGGUUGGUGCUGAUGCUGCUGGUCUCCAGAUCACACUUUUAGUAGCAACAAAGUACAUAGACCAGGAUUCCCACAUGCUGUGUAUCAGCCUCGCACACAGAGGUUGCUAAAUAAGCAAUCCCUUGGUCUUGUCCUAAUACUCUGAGAAGGUGGUUCUGGGGAGAGGCUGAGCAUUUCGGAAAAGCCCCACAAGCAAUUCUGACGAUCAGCCAAUUUGGGAAUCCUGAGGUAUACGAGAGUGAGUGGCCAGAGAGGGGCCUUAAAUCCACAUUUAAAAGUGCUUUUUUUCUUCAGAAAGAAAAGGGAAUUUAUAUUGACAAUUCAUAUUGUCAAUUAUGAGGUGUGAUGUUGAGAAAUAAUGUUGUUCUUAUUCCACCUGAAGACGUAGGCAGUGGUUCAGAGUUCAGCGUAAUGAAAUCCUUGCUCUCUGAAACUAUUCUCCAAGUUGAGUUCUCCUCACUCAUUCUUGGAGCUAACAAUGGGAUCCAAAUUAAGUUAGACAUACAGUACUAUAUAUAUGUAUGGCUCCAUGGGAACAGGACCCACAGUGUCCACUCCAGGCCAGAUCCCACAAAGGAACUUUCGCCCCCGCUGGGGCACAGUGUCACUGUUCACACAGUGAGCCCCUCGUGCUGGACGUGGACCCCACGCUGAGGACGGCUAUCACUGAGGCUCCUAACAACUGGAGGUGGUGUGACUCCCACUCUCGACAACCCUGUCAGAUGCAUCCUGCAUGGUUCCAGCUUCUCUGUGUCUCAACGGCCUGAGUAGAGUCUGACAUGUGGUCACCUGACUGCAGGGACCUCAGCUUCAUGCUAUGUGCUCUGGCAAGAAUAUUUGGGAAAGUGGGUUUUCUUCUUUAAUGGAAUAAGGUGGUCUCUGCCUCCUACCAAGAUUCAGUUUGGAAUUUUCCUAAUCUGGAAAUGCUCCUAAUCAGGUGAGGGGGAGAGAGGGAUGGACAAGAAUGUCAAAUUUCAAUUGUUAGAGCAAAGAUCUGGAAGUGGAACUUGAUCUGGUACAAUGUAGGCACUCGGGUUUGACUGAAAGAACAAGUGACUAAUAAGUGACAUCCAGGGUAGAGAUCUGCUUGCUUACGUGUUUGUUUUGUUUUGUUUUCAUUGGAGUGUAAUUGACUUACAAUGCUGUGUCACUUUCUGCUGGACAGUACAGUGAAUCAGCUAUAAAUAUAUUCAGGCUUUUUUAGAUUCUUUCCCCAUAUACGCCAUUAGAGAGUGCUGGGUAAAGCUCCCUGUACUAUGCAGUAUCCACAGCACUUUAAAGUGCUGCCCAGGUGGUGGUGGAGGGAGAUCCUAGGAGGAUGGCUCUGUUCCAGAUGCAGAAGUAUCCAGACCAGGUGGAAGCAUGUCAGAAGGGUCCAGGACAACAUUUCCAAAAAAGGAAAAACUGAUGGAAUAUCCAAAGUAUCCAUACUUCGUGAAAGAGUCAUGCAAACAGAGCAGUCAUUAGAGCUGAAUUCAUGAGAGCUUCAUAGAACAUAAUCAACAAAAACAAAUCCUCAUCAAGAGGCUCUUUAGUUCUUCAUUUCUGCCAUUAAAGUGGGAUCAUCUCCUUUUC